ACAAGAAAGAAAAUGCUGUCGGCAAAAUCUGAUGCAGCUGGCUGUUUGUUUUCUUGGAGGACCCAAAGAUAAUGAAAUGGUUGGACUGAAUAUUUCUAGGAUCCCUGCCAGCUCUAAAAUUCUUGGAUUUGGACACGAAAACAGGCAUGUGGACAUGAUGGCUGGAGCUACAGUGACCAUUCUUUGAUUGAGAGGCAGCUCUUUGGAAGGGAGGCAAGUGUUAAGCAAGGACGAACAGAAAGAUCAAAGGAGGCUGGGUCAUUGUUGCCACUACAGAGCUUCUGUACCAGCCCCAGAAUGCCUCUUCCUAAUCUUAGUGAUAUGAGGGGAAAGAAUGCCUUAACUUGUUUCAGCCAUUGCUUUUUUGGACUCUAUACAAAUAGUCAAAGCAGUGCCCAAUGUGGUGCUCCCUUCCCACAGCCUCUGAAAUGAAAGAAAAGGAUUAAAAGACAGAAGUGGAUAUUGAUAAGUUUUGGGGAGGGAGGUAGGACAGUUAAGGGAGAUUAAACUUGAUGGCUUCAACUUUUAGGAUGAAGUAAGAGGCAAUGUCUACAGAGACUGAGUGUGGUAGGGCUUGAAGAAAGGAAAUUUUUAAUCACUUUAAUGGUGUGCUAAAAUGAAAUACUGUACUAACUGCUGAUCUAAUGUACCUUGCCUACU
Molecule: long non-coding RNA, 660 nt
Organism: Balaenoptera ricei (Rice's whale)
Lineage: Eukaryota; Metazoa; Chordata; Mammalia; Artiodactyla; Balaenopteridae
Exons: 3
Source: RefSeq, a predicted model, not a curated record